AGACCCGAAACCCGGUGAUCUAGCCAUGGGCAGGUUGAAGGUUGGGUAACACUAACUGGAGGACCGAACCGACUAAUGUUGAAAAAUUAGCGGAUGACCUGUGGCUGGGGGUGAAAGGCCAAUCAAACCGGGAGAUAGCUGGUUCUCCCCGAAAGCUAUUUAGGUAGCGCCUCGUGAAUUCAUCUCCGGGGGUAGAGCACUGUUUCGGCUAGGGGGCCAUCCCGGCUUACCAACCCGAUGCAAACUGCGAAUACCGGAGAAUGUUAUCACGGGAGACACACGGCGGGUGCUAACGUCCGUCGUGAAGAGGGAAACAACCCAGACCGCCAGCUAAGGUCCCAAAGUCAUGGUUAAGUGGGAAACGAUGUGGGAAGGCCCAGACAGCCAGGAUGUUGGCUUAGAAGCAGCCAUCAUUUAAAGAAAGCGUAAUAGCUCACUGGUCGAGUCGGCCUGCGCGGAAGAUGUAACGGGGCUAAACCAUGCACCGAAGCUGCGGCAGCGACGCUGAUGCGUUGUUGGGUAGGGGAGCGUUCUGUAAGCCUGCGAAGGUGGCCUGUGAGGGUUGCUGGAGGUAUCAGAAGUGCGAAUGCUGACAUAAGUAACGAUAAAGCGGGUGAAAAGCCCGCUCGCCGGAAGACCAAGGGUUCCUGUCCAACGUUAAUCGGGGCAGGGUGAGUCGACCCCUAAGGCGAGGCCGAAAGGCGUAGUCGAUGGGAAACGGGUUAAUAUUCCCGUACUUGGUGUUACUGCGAAGGGGGGACGGAGAAGGCUAUGUUGGCCGGGCGACGGUUGUCCCGGUUUAAGCGUGUAGGUGUGUGUUCCAGGUAAAUCCGGUUCACUUUAACACUGAGGCGUGAUGACGAGGCACUACGGUGCUGAAGCAACAAAUGCCCUGCUUCCAGGAAAAGCCUCUAAGCAUCAGGUAACAUCAAAUCGUACCCCAAACCGACACAGGUGGUCAGGUAGAGAAUACCAAGGCGCUUGAGAGAACUCGGGUGAAGGAACUAGGCAAAAUGGUGCCGUAACUUCGGGAGAAGGCACGCUGACACGUAGGUGAAGUGAUUUACUCAUGGAGCUGAAGUCAGUCGAAGAUACCAGCUGGCUGCAACUGUUUAUUAAAAACACAGCACUGUGCAAACACGAAAGUGGACGUAUACGGUGUGACGCCUGCCCGGUGCCGGAAGGUUAAUUGAUGGGGUCAGCGCAAGCGAAGCUCCUGAUCGAAGCCCCGGUAAACGGCGGCCGUAACUAUAACGGUCCUAAGGUAGCGAAAUUCCUUGUCGGGUAAGUUCCGACCUGCACGAAUGGCGUAAUGAUGGCCAGGCUGUCUCCACCCGAGACUCAGUGAAAUUGAACUCGCUGUGAAGAUGCAGUGUACCCGCGGCAAGACGGAAAGACCCCGUGAACCUUUACUAUAGCUUGACACUGAACAUUGAGCCUUGAUGUGUAGGAUAGGUGGGAGGCUUUGAAGUGUGGACGCCAGUCUGCAUGGAGCCGGCCUUGAAAUACCACCCUUUAAUGUUUGAUGUUCUAACGUGGACCCGUGAUCCGGGUUGCGGACAGUGUCUGGUGGGUAGUUUGACUGGGGCGGUCUCCUCCUAAAGAGUAACGGAGGAGCACGAAGGUUGGCUAAUCCUGGUCGGACAUCAGGAGGUUAGUGCAAUGGCAUAAGCCAGCUUGACUGCGAGCGUGACGGCGCGAGCAGGUGCGAAAGCAGGUCAUAGUGAUCCGGUGGUUCUGAAUGGAAGGGCCAUCGCUCAACGGAUAAAAGGUACUCCGGGGAUAACAGGCUGAUACCGCCCAAGAGUUCAUAUCGACGGCGGUGUUUGGCACCUCGAUGUCGGCUCAUCACAUCCUGGGGCUGAAGUAGGUCCCAAGGGUAUGGCUGUUCGCCAUUUAAAGUGGUACGCGAGCUGGGUUUAGAACGUCGUGAGACAGUUCGGUCCCUAUCUGCCGUGGGCGCUGGAGAACUGAGGGGGGCUGCUCCUAGUACGAGAGGACCGGAGUGGACGCAUCACUGGUGUUCGGGUUGUCAUGCCAAUGGCACUGCCCGGUAGCUAAAUGCGGAAGAGAUAAGUGCUGAAAGCAUCUAAGCACGAAACUUGCCCCGAGAUGAGUUCUCCCUGAGACUUAGAGUCUCCUGAAGGAACGUUGAAGACGACGACGUUGAUAGGCCGGGUGUGUAAGCGC
This 2190-nucleotide ribosomal RNA is filed under the name Salmonella enterica subsp. enterica serovar Schwarzengrund. Its description in RNAcentral is "partial 23S ribosomal RNA". It matches the Rfam family "Bacterial large subunit ribosomal RNA", at positions 711 to 2876 of the family's 2925-position model. Lineage: Bacteria; Pseudomonadati; Pseudomonadota; Gammaproteobacteria; Enterobacterales; Enterobacteriaceae. The record is from RNAcentral.